Molecule: ribosomal RNA, 446 nt
Filed under: uncultured bacterium
Lineage: Bacteria
Description: partial 16S ribosomal RNA
Rfam family: Bacterial small subunit ribosomal RNA
Source: RNAcentral
CCUACGGGUGGCAGCAGUCGAGAAUCAUUCACAAUGGGGGAAACCCUGAUGGUGCGACGCCGCGUGGGGGAAUGAAGGUCUUCGGAUUGUAAACCCCUGUCAUGUGGGAGCAAAUUAAAAAGAUAGUACCACAAGAGGAAGAGACGGCUAACUCUGUUCCAGCAGCCGCGGUAAUACAGAGGUCUCAAGCGUUGUUCGGAUUCACUGGGCGUAAAGCGUGCGUAGGCUGUGUCGUAAGUCGUGUGUGAAAGGUGCGGGCUCAACCUGCGGACGGCACAUGAUACUGGGAGACUAGAGUAAUGGAGGGGGAACCGGAAUUCGCGGUGUAGCAGUGAAAUGCGUAGAUAUCGAGAGGAACACUCGUGGCGAAGGCGGGUUCCUGGACAUUAACUGACGCUGAGGCACGAAGGCCAGGGGAGCGAAAGGGAUUAGAUACCCUGGUAGUC